GUCCGUGUCCCCCACCCAAAUCUCAUCUUGAAUUAUAGUUUCCAUAAUUCCCAAGUGUCCUGGGAGGAACCCGGUGGGAGGUAACUGAAUCAUGGGAGCAGUUACUGCCAGGCUGUUCUCGUGUUAGUGAGUGAGUUCUCAGGAGAUCUGAUGGUUUUAUAAGGGCCCUUUCCCCGCUUUGCUCAGCACUUCUCCUUCCUACUGCCCUGUGAAGAAAGUGCCUUUCUUCCCCUUUGCCUUCCACCAUGAUUGUAAGUUUCCUGAGACUUUCCUAGCCAUGCAGGACUGUGAGUCCAUUAAACCUCUUUACUUAUAAAUUAGCCAGUCUCGGGUCUCUCUUCAUAGCAGUGUGAGAACAGACUAAUGCAGGGGGGCUAUUAUGUUGCCAAUC
This 391-nucleotide long non-coding RNA is filed under the name Homo sapiens (human). Its description in RNAcentral is "non-protein coding lnc-MGAT5B-4:1". Lineage: Eukaryota; Metazoa; Chordata; Mammalia; Primates; Hominidae. The record is from RNAcentral.